Molecule: non-coding RNA, 66 nt
Filed under: Streptomyces sp.
Lineage: Bacteria; Bacillati; Actinomycetota; Actinomycetes; Kitasatosporales; Streptomycetaceae
Also listed under: 1 other name
Description: Fluoride sequence
Rfam family: Fluoride riboswitch aptamer (crcB RNA motif)
Source: RNAcentral
CUGGUAUCCGGCGAUGGGGCUCGCCGCCAACCGCACCCCUGGGGUGCUGAUGGCCUCUACCCGCUG